Ziziphus jujuba (common jujube) is the source of this 1081-nucleotide long non-coding RNA. RefSeq lists it as uncharacterized. NCBI's taxonomy places the organism in Eukaryota, Viridiplantae, Streptophyta, Magnoliopsida, Rosales, Rhamnaceae. The record is from RefSeq and is a predicted model, not a curated record. The transcript has 2 exons.
ACUUACUCUCUUUCAUCAUCUUCUCCCCCACCACUCAUGAAAGAACGAGGAGAACACCAAUUUCCAUCGCAUGACCAUGGCAGUCAACUUCUAACUACAAUUGCUUUCAAAUUUUGGCCACCCACCAGGAAAUACAUAGACCAAAUCGAAACCCAUAGCCACCAUUAACUUACUAUGAAAUGGCCUAGAGUCGUGGGAAAACCAUGAAAAUUGGUGAGGCUUACAUUUAUCGAUCGCCAUUUUUCGGUGAGUUCCAGGUCAAAUGGGUGGUCAUUUCCCGUAAAUUUGGACCCCUUAAGUCUAUUUCCAACCAUGGAGGCUCAAAUCUUACUCGUUUGUGAGAUACAAUAAAAUUUCUUUACGACAACAAUCUCCAACAGGAUUUUGACCAUCUCCCGUAAUAGUUGGGUAAAUUGAAGAUUAGUAUGGAGGUUAUAUUUAGUUGUCCUUUGUGAGCUAUGGUGAGAGUUGUUAGGCAUGUAUUUUGUGGUGAUAGCAUCAGUCACCUUCCCUACAGUUGAAGGAGAACAGGUUUAGCCAUUCCUAUGGGAGCGAAGAGUGAGAAUGUUGGUAGGUAUUUUGCACAUUGAGCAUUAACCAUCCUCCUUUGCCGUAUAAUGGCAGAUUAUUUAGCAUCGAAAUCAUUGGGACGCUAAUGGAACCACAUGCACUCCCUUAUCUAUCAAAUAGUGUUUUAGAAGCCAAGCAUCACAUCGCAGUGCUGAUAUAUCAUAUGGUGUAUCGCAUAUCUUUUUGAUGAAUAUAUAUAUGUAUUACAUUAUGCUAUAGUGUAUUACACCGUACUGGGGCCACGACUCAACUCAACUCAUGAAUGGUUUAGUAUUGUAUUUCUAUUGCCUAUGAGACUAAAGAGUUGGAAGGUUAUUAAAGACAACCACCCUUUGUAGUAUUGGAAGUAGUAUACCUGCAGAUAGGUAAUAUCGUAGGACCAUGUAUUAGUGUACUAUAUAAUAUAUCGGGUGUGCCUCCACUACAAGUGUGGAUUAUGUAAUGUAUUUAUCAAUUUUAGUUAUGUUUUACCUAUUUAUGAUUAUUAUUAUUAUUAUUAUUGUUAUUGUUA